Molecule: ribosomal RNA, 473 nt
Filed under: uncultured bacterium
Lineage: Bacteria
Description: SSU rRNA
Rfam family: Bacterial small subunit ribosomal RNA
Source: RNAcentral
AGGACGAACGCUGGCGGCGUGCUUAACACAUGCAAGUCGAGCGGAAAGGCCCUUCGGGGUACUCGAGCGGCGAACGGGUGAGUAACACGUGAGCAAUCUGCCCUUAGCUUCGGGAUAGCCCCGGGAAACCGGGAUUAAUACCGAAUAUGACCUUGGCCGACAUCGGCCUUGGUGGAAAGUUUUUCGGCUAGGGAUGAACUCGCGGCCUAUCAGCUUGUUGGUGGGGUAAUGGCCUACCAAGGCGACGACGGGUAGCCGGCCUGAGAGGGCGACCGGCCACACUGGGACUGAGACACGGCCCAGACUCCUACGGGAGGCAGCAGUGGGGAUAUUGCGCAAUGGGCGAAAGCCUGACGCAGCGACGCCGCGUGGGGGAUGAAGGCCUUCGGGUUGUAAACCCCUUUCAGCAGGGACGAAGCGAGAGUGACGGUACCUGCAGAAGAAGCGCCGGCUAACUACGUGCCAGCAGCCGC